GACGUAGGGCGCGAGCGUUGUCCGGAUUUACUGGGCGUAAAGAGCGCGUAGGCGGAACGUUAAGCGGGGCCGGAAAGCCCCCCGGCUCAACCGGGGAAGGGGCCGCGAACUGGCGUUCUUGAGGGGGAGAGAGGAGAGUGGAAUUCCCGGUGUAGCGGUGAAAUGCGCAGAUAUCGGGAAGAACACCCGUGGCGAAGGCGGCUACUCUGGGACGGUACUGGAUGCUGAGACGCGAAAGCGUGGGGAGCGAACAGG
RNAcentral lists this ribosomal RNA (255 nucleotides) under uncultured bacterium. Its description in RNAcentral is "partial 16S ribosomal RNA". It matches the Rfam family "Bacterial small subunit ribosomal RNA", at positions 524 to 776 of the family's 1533-position model. The record is from RNAcentral.